ACACAUGGUUAGCAGAUGUUAUUGGUCACAUACACAUGGUUAGCAGAUGUUAUUGGUCACAUACACAUGGUUAGCAGAUGUUAUUGGUCACAUGGUUAGCAGAUGUUAUUGGUCACAUACACAUGGUUAGCAGAUGUUAUUGGUCACAUACACAUGGUUAGCAGAUAUUAUUGGUCACAUGGUUAGCAGAUGUUAUUGGUCACAUGGUUAGCAGAUGUUAUUGGUCACAUGGUUAGCAGAUGUUAUUGGUCACAUGGUUAGCAGAUGUUAUUGGUCACAUGGUUAGCAGAUGUUAUUGGUCACAUGGUUAGCAGAUGUUAUUGGUCACAUGGUUAGCAGAUAUUAUUGGUCACAUGGUUAGCAGAUGUUAUUGGUCACAUGGUUAGCAGAUGUUAUUGGUCACAUACACAUGGUUAGCAGAUGUUAUUGGUCACAUACACAUGGUUAGCAGAUGUUAUUGGUCACAUACACAUGGUUAGCAGAUAUUAUUGGUCACAUGGUUAGCAGAUGUUAUUGGCCACAUACACAUGGUUAGCAGAUGUUAUUGGUCACAUACACAUGGUUAGCAGAUAUUAUUGGUCACAUGGUUAGCAGAUGUUAUUGGUCACAUGGUUAGCAGAUGUUAUUGGUCACAUACACAUGGUUAGCAGAUAUUAUUGGUCACAUGGUUAGCAGAUGUUAUUGGUCACAUGGUUAGCAGAUGUUAUUGGUCACAUGGUUAGCAGAUGUUAUUGGUCACAUACACAUGGUUAGCAGAUAUUAUUGGUCACAUGGUUAGCAGAUGUUAUUGGUCACAUGGUUAGCAGAUAUUAUUGGUCACAUGGUUAGCAGAUGUUAUUGGUCACAUGGUUAGCAGAUGUUAUUGGUCACAUGGUUAGCAGAUGUUAUUGGUCACAUACACAUGGUUAGCAGAUGUUAUUGGUCACAUGGUUAGCAGAUGUUAAUGGUCACAUGGUUAGCAGAUGUUAUUGGUCACAUACACAUGGUUAGCAGAUGUUAUUGCGAGUGUAUUCAAAAUGCUUGGUAUGACUAUAAUAACUUGUUCAUAUUUUACCUAUAAACAAUUACGUGACUUACUUUUGAUAUUACCCUAAUAAAGUUAAACUUUUUGUGAAUGUUAUGUACAGUAUGGCUAUUAUUAGACUGAGCUCCUGCAGGCCUAUGAAGGCAGUGAGCACCAGACUCAGACAGCUUAGCUUGAGGUGAGGAAGAAUGUUUUAGGCCUACCAGAGUUACACCUUUAAUCUAAUAUUAAUCUUCAUAAAUAACAUUCUGAUUGAAAAUAUAUGAAUUAGCAUUCUGUACGCCUGUAUCAGCAGUAUCCUAUCUGACAAGUUUAAAGAAAUCCAUGUCGAUGUCGGGAACAUUGGCAUAUCUCUAUCUUUCUCUAGGGUUAGGCCUAAGCUUGUCUAAGGUCGAUGUACACGGCCUGUGGCAAUCUAAUUAGCGUAAUACAACAAUCCCCAUAAAAAUCUGUCAGUUUAAGCUAAAUAUCUAGUUUUUUUUGUUGCAUUGGAUCCAUCCGCCAAUGUCACACUUCCACAUCUGUGAUGAAAGGUGACAGAGCUAGAGCGGUGCUUGUCAGACCAUGAGACACCCCAAAAAUUGGUCUUCUCAUGAAAACAUCCAUAGCGGCCGAUCGGUUUGGCCUACAAACUAUUACCCCUCUAUGGAAAGAUGAAACUCUCGGGAGCAUCUUGGUUGUUUUGCUCUAAGAUGCCUCAUAAGACUCGUCUGAAUGUCCCCGGGCAACAGUGAUUUUUUUUUAAAAAGUACUGUAUACAGUGAUUCGGAAAAUAUCCAAAUCCCUUGACUUUUCCACAUUUUGUUAUGUUACAGACUUACUCUAAAAUUGAUUUACAAAUGCUAAAUCUACACACAAUAGCACAUUAUGACCAGGCAAAAACAGUAAAACGAAAAAAAAAUGUUUGCGAAUUUCUAAAAAGAAAAAACUGAUAUUACAUUUACAUAAGCAAACUGGAUGCAGUAUAUCACAGUGCCAUCCGUUUUGUCACUAAAGCACCUUAUACCACCCACCACUGCGACUUGUAUGCUCUAGUCGGCUGGCCCUCGCUACAUAUUCGUCGCCAGACCCACUGGCUCCAGGUCAUCUACAAGUCCAUGCUAGGUAAAGCUCCGCCUUAUCUCAGUUCACUGGUCACGAUGGCAACACCCAUCCGUAGCACGCGCUCCAGCAGGUGUAUCUCACUGAUCAUCCCUAAAGCCAACACCUCAUUUGGCCGCCUUUCGUUCCAGUACUCUGCUGCCUGUGACUGGAACGAAUUGCAAAAAUCGCUGAAGUUGGAGACUUUUAUCUCCCUCACCAACUUCAAACAUCAGCUAUCUGAGCAGCUAACCGAUCGCUGCAGCUGUACAUAGUCUAUUGGUAAAUAGCCCAUUUUCACCUACCUCAUCCCCAUACUGUUUUUAUUUAUUUACUUUUCUGCUCUUUUGCACACCAAUAUCUCUACCUGUACAUGACCAUCUGAUCAUAUAUCACUCCAGUGUUAAUCUGCAAAAUUGUAACUAUUCGUCUACCUCCUCAUGCCUUUUGCACACAUUGUACAUUGUAUAUAGACUCCCCCUUUGUUUUCUACUGUGUUAUUGACUUGUUAAUUUGUUUAUUCCAUGUGUAACUCUGUGUUGUCUGCUCACACUGCUAUGCUUUAUCUUGGCCAGGUCGCAGUUGUAAAUGAGAACUUGUUCUCAACUAGCCUACCUGGUUAAAUAAAGGUGAAAUAAAUAAAAAUAAAUAAAUAAAAUAAAUAAGUACUCAGACCCUUUACUCAGUACUUUGUUGAAACACAUUUGGCAGCGAUUACAGCCUAGAGUCUUCUUGGGUAUGACGCUACAAAGUUGGCACACCUGUAUCUGGGGAGUAUCUCCCAUUCUUCACUGCAUAUCCUCUCAAGCUCUGUCAGGUUGGAUGGGGAGUAUUGCUGCACAGCUUUUUCAGGUCUCUCCAGAGAUGUUCAAUCGUGUUCAAGUCCCUGCCUGUGCCAUCCAAGGAUUUUCAGAGACUUGUCCCGAAGCCACUCCUGCGAUGUCUUGGCUGUCUGCUUAGGGUCAUUGUCCUGUUGGAAUGUGAACCUCGCCCCAGUCUGAGCUACUGAGAUCUCUGGAUCAGGUUUUCAUCAAUGGUCUCUCUGUACUUUGCUCCAUUCAUCUUUGCCUUGAUCCUGACUAGUCUCCCAGUCCCUGCCGCUGAAAAACAUCCAUACAGCAUGAUUCUGACACCACCAUGCUUCACCAUAGGGAUGGUACCAGGUUUCCUCGAGACAUGGCGCUUGGCAUUCAGGCAAAAGAUUUAAAUCCAGAGAAUCUUGUUUCUCAUGGUCUGAGAGUCUUUAGGUGCCUUUUGACAAACUCCAAGCGGGCUGUCAUGUCUUUUACUGAGGAGUGGCUUCCAUCUGGCCACUCUACAACAAAGGCAUGAUUGUUGGAGUGCUGCAGAGAUGAUUCCUUCUGGAAGGUUCUCCCAUUUCUACAGAGGAACUCUGUGAGAGUGACCAUCGGGUUCUUGGUUACCUCCCUGACCAAGGCCCUUCUCCCCUGAUUGCUCAGUUUGACCGGGAGGCCAGCUCUAGGAAGAGUCUUGGUGGAUCCAAACUUCUUCCAUUUAAGAAUGAUGGAGGCCACUGAUCUUAGGGACCUUCAGUGCUGCAGAAAUGUUUUGAUACCGUUCACCAGAUCUGUGCCUCGACAUAAUCCUGUCUCGGACAAUUCCUUCGACCUCAUGGCUUGGUUUUUGCUCUGACAUGCACUGUCAACGGUCAGACAAUAUGUAGACAGAUGUGUGCCUUUCCAAAUCAUGUCCAAUCAAUUGAAUUUACAAUUGAAUUUACAACAGUUGGACUCCAAUCAAGUUGUGGAAACAUCUCAAGGAUGAUUAAUGGAAACAGGAUGCACCUGAGCUCAAUUUCGAGUCUCAUGGCAAAUGGUCUGAAUACUUAAGUAAAAAAAAUGUUUUCUAUAUUCUAUAUUCUAUAUUCAAUACAAUGUUUUUGCUUUGUCGUUAUGGGGUAUUGUGUGUAAUUGCUGAAUAUUUGUGUUUAUUUUAUUAGUUCUAGAAUAAGGCUCUUAAGGUGUCUGAAGACUUUCUGAAGGCACUAUAUCUCUAAUGUAUGUUAUCCAGGCCGUGUCUAACUACGGAAUGUUACCCAGAAUACAUCUAACAACAGUAUGAUCCCCAGGCUAUGUCUCUGCUGUAUGUUACCCAGAAUACAUCUAACAACAUUAUGUUCCCCAGGCUGUGUCUGCUGAAUGUUACCCAGAAUACGUAUAACUACGAUAUGUUUCCCAGGCUGUGUAUAGAUGUUGUAUAUUACCCAGGCUAUGUCUAGAUGUUGUAUGUUACCCAGGCUGUGUCUAGAUGUUGUAUAUUACCCAGGCUGUGUCUAGAUGUUGUAUAUUAGGCUUUGUCUAGAUGUUAUAUAUUACCCAUGCUAUGUCUAGAUGUUGUAUAUUACCCAGGCUAUGUCUUGAUACUGUAUGUUACCCAGGCUAUGUCUAGAUGUUGUAUAUUACCCAGGCUGUGUCUAGAUGUUGUAUAUUACCCAGGCUAUGUCUAGAUACUGUAUGUUACCCAGGCUAUGUCUAGAUACUGUAUGUUACCCAGGCUAUGUCUAGAUGUUGUAUAUUACCCAGGCUGUGUCUAGAUGUUGUAUAUUACCCAGGCUAUGUCUAGAUGUUGUAUGUUACCCAAGCUAUGUCUAGAUGUUGUAUGUUACCCAGGCUAUGUCUAGAUAAUGUAUGCUACGUUUAUCUACUAUCCUGGCUGUCCAUCACAGAGUUCUGUGUAUGUCUGUGUAUUGCCCUAGGUCAUAUCUGUUGCUGGUAGAGCCCAGCGCUGAUCACUCUGCUUUUAAUUAACCAUAUUAACAUGAACACAUUAUCUUUCUCUCUGCUUUUAAUUAACCAUAUUAACAUAAACACUUUAUCUUCCUCUCUCUCUCUCACUCCGUUGCCCUCUCUAUACUCUCUCUCACCCCUCCCUUUUUGUAUUUACCCCUGCAUCCCUCUCCCUGUCUUCCUACAAUAGUGCUGUUAGAUGGCCUCAGGCUAUCCCGACCAGCUGCAUUAAACCUGGACUAAUCAACCAAAUUCUCUCUCUUUCUCUCUCUCUCUCACACACACACACACACACACAGAGAGAGGAUGUAGAGAGGAUUAACAGGGUUGGAACUAGGUCUAAACACAUUCAUGGUGGGUGUUCUGAAUGUGGUGGCUUUCUUGCCUACAGGGAUCUAGAGUUCUAAUGAGCAGUGUAUUUGGUAAGUGCAUGAAGUAGCCAGCCAGUAGAAAAAGCAGACAAGCAAGUAGGAAAAGUAGCCAACCAAGUAGGAAAAGUUGCCAGCCAAGUAGGAGAAGUAGCCAGCCAGGGAAUUAUGUGCUGAGUGCAUGAACGAGCACUGUCUUGGUGGCCUCUUUUGCAGUCUAAUGCCUUGAUUCUAUCCCAAAUACACAGCUAAAAUGUUGAAUAAUUUAACGAGAAGUGGUACUGAGAAGAAAAUAAUCAUAAAAAAUGAAAAUAGAGACAAGAUAGUAAUUACUAACAAUUGAAUACCACGAAAUUGGGGAGAAAAGAGAGUAAAAUUAUUUGUAAAAAUGUUUAAAAAAUUAAAAAAAUUAAUAUAUGAAUUCAGUUUUUUAGAUGUUUUAAUAUCAUCUAGGCCUAUAUGAUCAAUAAGUAUGAGAACCUUUGAGUUUGGCCUGUCAAUCAGUUACUGUGGG
Molecule: long non-coding RNA, 5733 nt
Organism: Oncorhynchus tshawytscha (Chinook salmon)
Lineage: Eukaryota; Metazoa; Chordata; Actinopteri; Salmoniformes; Salmonidae
Source: Ensembl